CAGCCGCCGCGGGAAUACGAAGGGUGCAAGCGUUAAUCGGAAUUACUGGGCGUAAAGCGCGCGUAGGCGGUUUGUUAAGUCUGUUGUGAAAUCCCCGGGCUCAACCUGGGAAUGGCAAUGGAUACUGGCAAGCUAGAGUGUGUCAGAGGAUGGUGGAAUUCCCGGUGUAGCGGUGAAAUGCGUAGAGAUCGGGAGGAACAUCAGUGGCGAAGGCGGCCAUCUGGGACAACACUGACGCUGAGGCACGAAAGCGUGGGGAGCAAACAGGAUUAGAUACCCCAGUAGUCCCUGUCUCUUAUAC
RNAcentral lists this ribosomal RNA (301 nucleotides) under uncultured bacterium. RNAcentral describes it as "partial 16S ribosomal RNA". It matches the Rfam family "Bacterial small subunit ribosomal RNA", at positions 509 to 807 of the family's 1533-position model. The record is from RNAcentral.